RNAcentral lists this ribosomal RNA (434 nucleotides) under uncultured bacterium. Its description in RNAcentral is "bacterial SSU rRNA". It matches the Rfam family "Bacterial small subunit ribosomal RNA", at positions 32 to 507 of the family's 1533-position model. The record is from RNAcentral.
AGAACGACGCUGGCGGCAUGCCUAACACAUGCAAGUCGAACGAGACCUUCGGGUCUAGUGGCGCACGGGUGCGUAACGCGUGGGAAUCUGCCCUUUGCUUCGGAAUAACAGUUAGAAAUGACUGCUAAUACCGGAUGAUGUCUUCGGACCAAAGAUUUAUCGGCAAAGGAUGAGCCCGCGUAGGAUUAGGUAGUUGGUGGGGUAAAGGCCUACCAAGCCGACGAUCCUUAGCUGGUCUGAGAGGAUGAUCAGCCACACUGGGACUGAGACACGGCCCAGACUCCUACGGGAGGCAGCAGUGGGGAAUAUUGGACAAUGGGCGAAAGCCUGAUCCAGCAAUGCCGCGUGAGUGAUGAAGGCCUUCGGGUCGUAAAGCUCUUUUACCAGGGAUGAUAAUGACAGUACCUGGAGAAUAAGCUCCGGCUAACUCCGUG